This 392-nucleotide ribosomal RNA is filed under the name uncultured Acidobacteriota bacterium. RNAcentral's name for it is "bacterial SSU rRNA". It matches the Rfam family "Bacterial small subunit ribosomal RNA", at positions 172 to 541 of the family's 1533-position model. Lineage: Bacteria; Pseudomonadati; Acidobacteriota. The record is from RNAcentral.
CAUAACAUCCUGCCUUUUAAGAGGUGGAGAUCAAAACUCAAAAGGAGCAAGACCUAGCACUCGAAGAGGGGCCCGCGUCCGAUUAGCUAGUUGGUGAGGUAACGGCUCACCAAGGCAACGAUCGGUAGCCGGCCUGAGAGGGCGGACGGCCACACUGGGACUGAGACACGGCCCAGACUCCUACGGGAGGCAGCAGUGGGGAAUUGUUCGCAAUGGGCGCAAGCCUGACGACGCAACGCCGCGUGGAGGAUGAAGAUCUUCGGUUCGUUUUUUUCCUUUCGAUCGAGACGAAUUCUCCUGGGGUAAACAACUCCGGGAGUUGACGGUACCGAGAGAAGAAGCCCCGGCUAACUCCGUGCCAGCAGCCGCGGUAAUACGGGGGGGGCAAGCGU